This 2053-nucleotide long non-coding RNA is filed under the name Citrus x clementina. RNAcentral's name for it is "Citrus clementina (C. clementina) long non-coding RNA (CCLE_LNC006453)". Lineage: Eukaryota; Viridiplantae; Streptophyta; Magnoliopsida; Sapindales; Rutaceae. The record is from RNAcentral.
UUUUAUAGUGGUAAUAGAGCCAAAUCAUUAAAAAAUGACGUUCAUACUAACUUUUGACCCAAAAAAUUAGAAAUAAAAUUAUUAGAAAAAAGAUUGUACUUGUUAAUACCUAAUGAAGAUCCAAAAUUAAGACUAUUAUAAAUAUGCAUAAAUCUAAGAAUCAUUUUCAUUAUAUAAGACCGAUAUGGGGCAAGAAAUCAUGGUCAUAAUAAAAUACAAAUUUGGAAGAUAAAUCCAUAAUUUAUGAUGAUUUGAUUAUAUAUUCUCUAGGAAAUCAUGGUCAUAAUAAAAUACAAAUUUAGAAGAUAAAUCCUUAAUUUAUGAUGUUUUGAUUAUAUAUUCUCUAUUUAUAUCAUUCAAUUUCUUAUAUAAGUUAGCUCAGUGAGCCUUGAGUGUCCACCAAAUAAUUUCUAAUUUUUCUGAAGACUUAACCCUCAUGUGAUGGACGUGUGUUAAGAAGAUAAUCACCUGACAAUGAUAAAGUAAAAAGACUGACUCGCACAUACUAAUAGGGUGUUAAGGAGAUAAUCACAUGAUAGAGAUUAGACAAAAGACUGUUUUUGAUGAGGGGUGUUAAAGAGAGAGAUAAUCACCUAAUAAGGAUCAAGUAAAAAUAUCGACCUAUGAGUGAUGAGGAGUGCUUGAGAGACAACCUCACAUCUAUUAGGGAAAAAAAACUCCUUGAGAUAAGUACAUAAGCUUAAGGCAACCAAUUUAUAAAUGUUUUAGGCUCAUAGAUUUCUAUAAAAAUAAAUUGAAAACAUUUGGCUAAUCUCUUUUAGAUUUUCACAAAUAUGGAUGAGGUGGAUAUGCCGCUCCAAAUAUUACUAAAGGUAAAUAUAUCUUAGUGUAUGAAUAAAAUCUAGAAUGUGUCACAAUAAAAAUAUUCUUAAUUUCUCAUAGUAAAUAAAAAUAGAUUCUUGGUAAUAAAUAUACAUAGAUCUUUAAAAAAAUGUUAUUUUAUUUUCAUUUAAAAAAAAGAAAUUAAAUUGAUUGCAAUAGAACCAUUCCAUGCGAAUUCCCUAUGUAAAUUUUUUCAUGAAUGGUUUGCCUUUCCUAUAUAUCUCUUUGUUUCAGUGAGUAAGCACUAACAAUUACACACUGUUUCAGGUGACAUAAAGAUUGAUUUUGUGUGCCAAUUAGAAGCAAAGACAUGAAGGAGACUAAUUGGCGAACAAUACAUAUAUGGAUCCUGCUGCAAUUAUAAGAAAUCUGAAACGUCCUCGAUUUAUGCUAAAAUAUAGUCAAGUGGCAAUUCAAGUUUCCCACUUUCCCUAAAGGAGAAUGAACGAGAAAACUAGGGGCGGCCAUAUGAUCACAAAAUUAUGAAAAAUGGCUGAAAGCAUCAUUAUUUGGUUUGGACUGGAAACAAUUAAUAUUCCCCCACUUUCAACGGCCAGAUUUUACACUUCUGUUACUCUUUCUCUCGUUCAGUUGCCUCUAUGACCACAAUUACCUUUUGUUUGCGAAAAUACUCAUUAAUUUAGUUUUAUAUUAUAUUAUUUGUUUUAAUCAUAUAUAUGAGGUUAUAAGUAGACAGUCCUAAUUAACAACCCUAAUGGUAGGCCAUGCUAAUAACUAGCAGCAAUGAACUCAGUGAAGUGGAGCUCAACAAGUCUCGAGUAGAUAUAAUUGGUUUUGUUUCCAAAUUCAGUCCCACACAUUUUAAAGCGAAUGUUUAUACUUAGGUUCUGUGUAGUGUCGUGGUGUUGUGGUUUUCAUCUCACAAACAUCUCCUGUAGAAAUAAGCUAUACUACUAAUUAAAAUGAAAAUUUAUGGUGUGCUUAAUAAUAUCCAAGUGAAAGUCUUUUGGAAUCAUUUUUAGAGCUUAUCUUUUAGUAAAUUACUUUUAGAAAGAGAGAUUGUAGUUCUCCUUAAUGGUUUUUUUAUUUAAUUUUUUAAAAGCUAAGGAGUGGAUAAACCUUAAAUUUAUUUUUUCACCCAGUAUCUCUCCUAAUAUUAGAACCUAAGUGGUUAGCCAAAUAAAACGACUUGAACAAUCUCUUGACCAUGCUUUUGGGACCCUUAAUAUUUUAAGCUUUAACCACCUAC